UACGUAGGGGGCGAGCGUUACCCGGAUUUACUGGGCGUAAAGCGCGUGUAGGCGGCUGGUCAAGCGUGGUGUGAAAUCUCCGGGCUCAACCCGGAAACUGCAUUGCGAACUGACCUAGCUGGAGUGCAGGAGAGGGCAGCGGAAUUCCCGGUGUAGCGGUGAAAUGCGUAGAUAUCGGAAGGAACAUCAGUGGCGAAGGCGACUUCCUGGACCAAUACUGACGCUCAGGUGCGAAAGCGUGGGGAGCGAACAGG
This 254-nucleotide ribosomal RNA is filed under the name uncultured bacterium. RNAcentral describes it as "partial 16S ribosomal RNA". It matches the Rfam family "Bacterial small subunit ribosomal RNA", at positions 524 to 776 of the family's 1533-position model. The record is from RNAcentral.